Sus scrofa (pig) is the source of this 1937-nucleotide non-coding RNA. The record is from RefSeq and is a predicted model, not a curated record. Lineage: Eukaryota; Metazoa; Chordata; Mammalia; Artiodactyla; Suidae.
GGAGGUGGAACGGGCCCCAUGGGGUCCCGGGGCGGGCGGGGUCCAGGGGUCGCUGAGGUCCGACUGGCGACGUUCGAAUCCCGGUGGCUCCCGCGGAGUGUGGGUACGGGGCGCUGGGCUCAGGGUUUCAGACGAGACUCUGGACCACCAGGGGGGAUCUUACGGCCCCUCUGCGGAUGAGAAAACUGACACGUUGCGUGGAGAACCCGGGAUCCCAGCAGUCAGGGGACUGACUACAGCACAAACGCGCCUGGAUCUGAUCCGUUCCUUCCGAAAACUCGUCCAGACCCAAGUUGUCCCACCGCCCCCGCGAGCAAGGCUGUCUCAUCAAGACAGGUCUUUCAAAAAUAACUGUGGGAACAGUAAAGUAUUCGCUGCCUUUUCUUAUUUAAAAAAACCCCAUCCUUCCUCUUCCCUGGUCCUGGGCUCUGGCAUAUCGGCCUUCAAUCUCUGCAGGCAGGGUCACACCCGGGGGUAAUGUCAGUAGAAUCUGUAGUAAUCACCGCUCUCUCAUUCCUGAUCUAAGUAAUCUGGGUUUCCCUUCUUUUCUUAAGCCAUCUAAUAGAUUUUAUGGAUUUUAUUAAUUUUUUCCAAAAAUCCAACUUUUGGCUUCUCUGCUCUUUUUUUCAUUGAUUUCUUCUCAUGUCUCUUAUUUCCUUCUAUUUACUUUUGGUUUAAUUUGCUCUUUUUCAAAUUCGUUAAGUUGGCACAUUGGAUCGCUGCUGUUAAACUUUUUUCUUUUCUAAUAUAAAUGUUUACAACUAUAAAUCUAGAUUGUCAAUCUCCCUUGGCCUGCAGAAGUUACAGCGCCAGGGACUGAAUCUGCACCACAGCUCUGACAACGCCAGAUCUUUACCCUGCUGCACCACCCAGGAACUCCAUCCACAAGUUUUGAUAUAUGUGUUUUCAUUAUCAUUUCACUCAAAAUAUUUUUUUUUUUUUUUUUUUUUUUUUUUUUGCCUUUUCUAGGGCUGCUCCCGAGGCAUGUGGAGAUUCCCACCCAGGCUAGGGGUCGAAUCGGAGCCGUAGCCUCUGCCUCCGCCAGAGCCACAGCAACGCGGGAUCCGAGACGCGUCUGCAACCUACACCACAGCUCACGGCAAGGCUGGAUCCUUAACCCACUGAGCAAAGCCAGGGAUCGAACCCUCAACCUCAUGGUUCCUAGUCGGGUUUGUUAACCACUGUGCCACGACGGGAACUCCCACUCAAAAUAUUUUCUAAUUUCCUUUGUUAUUUAUUUGUAAUUACUUAUAAGGAGAUGGCUUCAUUUCCAAAUAUUUAACACUUUCCUGGGUAUCUUACUGUUACUGAUUUCUAACACAAUUCUAUUUGAGCCAGCUCUACGACCUAAGAUGUUUGUCUUUUGAAAUAGGUUGAGACUGACAGGAUGUUAAUAUCUCCGAUAUGAUAACAGCUUGUCUCCUUCUCACUUUGUAUUUGUGCCCCCUCCCCAAGUAUUAUAAGCUUUGUUAUUAGGCACUAUUAUGCCCUGAAUUGUAUCCUCCCAAAAUAUAUGUUCAAGUCCUAACCCCUGGUAUCUGUAAAUAUGACCCUAUUUGAAAAUAGUUUUGCUGUUGUAAUCAAUUAAGAUGGAAAAUGCCAUCUGGAGACAAACACAGAUGACACCGAAGGCAGAGCUGUAGCUGCAAGCCAAGGGACACCAAAGAUCACUGGAAAAUCAUUAUAAGCUGGGAAAUGUUGGAGACCACGGAACAGCAGAACUCUGCAGAAGGCAAAUAUCUAUGGACUCAGAGUUUUAAGUACAGAGUCUCCUUCAAAGACAAGGAUUCCCCGUUUCCCUGCAGCGCUGGAUGCAGCAAGGAAAAAGCAAGAAAGAUUUUCCUGCAGGUCCCAGAGGAAGCAUGGCCCUCUGACACCUUGAUUUCAGACUUUUAGCCUCUAGAACUGUGAGAGAAUAAAUUUCUGUUUUAAGUCUC